RNAcentral lists this ribosomal RNA (80 nucleotides) under uncultured bacterium. RNAcentral's name for it is "partial 16S ribosomal RNA". The record is from RNAcentral.
AGAGCUUUACAUACCGAAAUACUUCAUCGCUCACGCGGCGUCGCUGCAUCAGGGUUUCCCCCAUUGUGCAAUAUUCCCCA